UUGCAAUUGACGACCCAGGA
This 20-nucleotide unclassified non-coding RNA is filed under the name Mus musculus (house mouse). RNAcentral describes it as "oocyte_clustered_small_RNA12482". The record is from RNAcentral. Lineage: Eukaryota; Metazoa; Chordata; Mammalia; Rodentia; Muridae.